Molecule: unclassified non-coding RNA, 209 nt
Filed under: Hevea brasiliensis (rubber tree)
Lineage: Eukaryota; Viridiplantae; Streptophyta; Magnoliopsida; Malpighiales; Euphorbiaceae
Source: RNAcentral
AUUGUACUUGUAGUCACAGAACCAAAGAGAGUACCCCUCGGGGUCGUACAUAUCCCAAAAUCCUUUGAUAGCAACUUCCCUAAAGUUAGUUUUUGUAUUUGAAUAUAGCCUCUUCCACUCGUCCAGAAUCAUCGGGCUCGGAGGCAGUAGAUCGAGAGGGUUUUUUGGCUUGGGUUUUGGCGCCUCCUCUUCCUCCUCUCCCACCACCA